AGAUUGAACGCUGGCGGCAUGCUUUACACAUGCAAGUCGAACGGUAACAGGCCGCAAGGUGCUGACGAGUGGCGAACGGGUGAGUAAUGCAUCGGAACGUGCCCAGUCGUGGGGGAUAGCGCAGCGAAAGCUGUGCUAAUACCGCAUACGAUCUAUGGAUGAAAGCGGGGGACCGAAAGGCCUCGCGCGAUUGGAGCGGCCGAUGUCAGAUUAGCUAGUUGGUAGGGGUAAAGGCCCACAAGGCGACGGAUCUGUAGCUGGUCUGAGAGGACGACCAGCCACACUGGAACUGAGACACGGUCCAGACCCCCGUAGGGAGGCAGCAGGUGGGGAAUUUGGACAAGUGGGCGCAAGCCUGA
Molecule: ribosomal RNA, 359 nt
Filed under: uncultured soil bacterium
Lineage: Bacteria
Description: bacterial SSU rRNA
Rfam family: Bacterial small subunit ribosomal RNA
Source: RNAcentral